GACGAACGCUGGCGGCGUGCUUAACACAUGCAAGUCGAGCGGUAAGGCCCUUUCGGGGGUACACGAGCGGCGAACGGGUGAGUAACACGUGGGUGACCUGCCCUUAGCUCUGGGAUAAGCCUGGGAAACUGGGUCUAAUACCGGAUAUGACUCCAUGACGCAUGUUGUGGGGUGGAAAGCCUUGUGCGGCUAGGGAUGGGCCCGCGGCCUAUCAGCUUGUUGGUGGGGUGAUGGCCUACCAAGGCGACGACGGGUAGCCGGCCUGAGAGGGCGACCGGCCACACUGGGACUGAGACACGGCCCAGACUCCUACGGGAGGCAGCAGUGGGGAAUCUUGCGCAAUGGGCGAAAGCCUGACGCAGCGACGCCGCGUGGGGAUGAC
Molecule: ribosomal RNA, 382 nt
Filed under: uncultured bacterium
Lineage: Bacteria
Description: bacterial SSU rRNA
Rfam family: Bacterial small subunit ribosomal RNA
Source: RNAcentral